GACGAACGCUGGCGGCGUGCUUAACACAUGCAAGUCGAACGGAAAGGCCCUGCUUUUGUGGGGUGCUCGAGUGGCGAACGGGUGAGUAACACGUGAGUAACCUGCCCUUGACUUUGGGAUAACUUCAGGAAACUGGGGCUAAUACCGGAUAGGAGCUCCUGCUGCAUGGUGGGGGUUGGAAAGUUUCGGCGGUUGGGGAUGGACUCGCGGCUUAUCAGCUUGUUGGUGGGGUAGUGGCUUACCAAGGCUUUGACGGGUAGCCGGCCUGAGAGGGUGACCGGCCACCUUGGGACUGCGAUACGCCCCAGACUCCUACGGGAGGCAGCAGUGGGGAAUAUUGCACAAUGGGCGGAAGCCUGAUGCAGCAACGCCGCGUGCGGGAUGACGGCCUUCGGGUUGUAAACCGCUUUCGCCUGUGACGAAGCGUGAGUGACGGUAAUGGGUAAAGAAGCACCGGCUAACUACGUG
RNAcentral lists this ribosomal RNA (468 nucleotides) under uncultured bacterium. RNAcentral's name for it is "partial 16S ribosomal RNA". It matches the Rfam family "Bacterial small subunit ribosomal RNA", at positions 28 to 507 of the family's 1533-position model. The record is from RNAcentral.